Molecule: ribosomal RNA, 497 nt
Filed under: uncultured bacterium
Lineage: Bacteria
Description: partial 16S ribosomal RNA
Rfam family: Bacterial small subunit ribosomal RNA
Source: RNAcentral
GAUGAACGCUGGCGGCGUGCCUAAUACAUGCAAGUCGAGCGAACAGACGAGGAGCUUGCUCCUCUGACGUUAGCGGCGGACGGGUGAGUAACACGUGGAUAACCUACCUAUAAGACUGGGAUAACUUCGGGAAACCGGAGCUAAUACCGGAUAACAUGUUGAACCGCAUGGUUCAACAGUGAAAGACGGUCUUGCUGUCACUUAUAGAUGGAUCCGCGCCGCAUUAGCUAGUUGGUAAGGUAACGGCUUACCAAGGCAACGAUGCGUAGCCGACCUGAGAGGGUGAUCGGGCACACGGGAACUGAGACACGGUCCAGACUCCUACGGGAGGCAGCAGUAGGGAAUCUUCCGCAAUGGGCGAAAGCCUGACGGAGCAACGCCGCGUGAGUGAAGAAGGUCUUCGGAUCGUAAAACUCUGUUAUUAGGGAAGAACAAAUGUGUAAGUAACUAUGCACGUCUUGACGGUACCUAAUCAGAAAGCCACGGCUAACUACGUG